RNAcentral lists this ribosomal RNA (487 nucleotides) under Enterobacter hormaechei. Its description in RNAcentral is "bacterial SSU rRNA". It matches the Rfam family "Bacterial small subunit ribosomal RNA", at positions 30 to 503 of the family's 1533-position model. Lineage: Bacteria; Pseudomonadati; Pseudomonadota; Gammaproteobacteria; Enterobacterales; Enterobacteriaceae. The record is from RNAcentral.
AUUGAACGCUGGCGGCAGGCCUAACACAUGCAAGUCGAACGGUAACAGGAAGCAGCUUGCUGCUUUGCUGACGAGUGGCGGACGGGUGAGUAAUGUCUGGGAAACUGCCUGAUGGAGGGGGAUAACUACUGGAAACGGUAGCUAAUACCGCAUAACGUCGCAAGACCAAAGAGGGGGACCUUCGGGCCUCUUGCCAUCGGAUGUGCCCAGAUGGGAUUAGCUAGUAGGUGGGGUAACGGCUCACCUAGGCGACGAUCCCUAGCUGGUCUGAGAGGAUGACCAGCCACACUGGAACUGAGACACGGUCCAGACUCCUACGGGAGGCAGCAGUGGGGAAUAUGCACAAUGGGCGCAAGCCUGAUGCAGCCAUGCCGCGUGUAUGAAGAAGGCCUUUCGGGUUGUAAAGUACUUUGCAGCGGGGAGGAAGGCGAUAAGGUUAAUAACCUUGUCGAUUGACGUUACCCGCAGAAGAAGCACCGGCUAACUC